GUCCACGCCGUAAACGAUGUCUACUUGGAGGUUGUGGCCUUGAGCCGUGGCUUUCGGAGCUAACGCGUUAAGUAGACCGCCUGGGGAGUACGGUCGCAAGAUUAAAACUCAAAUGAAUUGACGGGGGCCCGCACAAGCGGUGGAGCAUGUGGUUUAAUUCGAUGCAACGCGAAGAACCUUACCUACUCUUGACAUCCAGAGAACUUUUCAGAGAUGAAUUGGUGCCUUCGGGAACUCUGAGACAGGUGCUGCAUGGCU
RNAcentral lists this ribosomal RNA (258 nucleotides) under uncultured bacterium. RNAcentral describes it as "partial 16S ribosomal RNA". It matches the Rfam family "Bacterial small subunit ribosomal RNA", at positions 793 to 1050 of the family's 1533-position model. The record is from RNAcentral.